AUCAACAUUUGGAGAUGUGCCGACAGAUGCACAUCUGCUCAGCAGUGGAUGGAGGACGAUGACAAACGGCGUCUGACCAAAUGACCUUCAUCUGUCAGGAGUUUGACUCGGGGCUCCAGGCUUUAACCACAGCACAAGACUCCUUCUGGAGUAAAUACCUGAAGUCAUCCGGCUGGAGCCGCUCAGACUCAUCUCUGAAGGUCUGGUUGCAUCUGCCGGUUCCUCCAGAUGUUCUGGCCUCGCCACCCUGGUCUGGUGGCACAGAGGUGGAGGCCAGGAGAUCCCAGACGUCCAAAUCAAAGUCUGGGAGGAGAUCCGGUGGGACAGAAAUGCUAUCGAGCCCCCAGUAUGAGUUACUUUGGUGGGGGAGAUCGGAGAUCUUCAAUUUCAACACUUUUCAGUUGUUUUCCAUUGGCAGCAUUUACUGUUUCCAUCAGAAGAACCUCCAUAUGAUGUCUUCACAAAGAUUCUGGGAUGAAUUGGGAUUCCAGUAUUUUCCGGCUCAGACGAGCCUCUUUGUGGUAUUCUGAGGUUUUCCUGCUGCAGCUCGUCUCAUCAACCUAAGGCUCCAAAGCUCAAACUGAAGCUGACUUCUCACCAUAAUGAAGCUGUUCUUGAGGCUGUGGUGCAGUGAGCCGCCUGUCAUGCAGGAGUUAUCUGUCGGUGACACUUGUCCUCUGGUUGAGUUGUGACUUUGUGUCUGCCAGAUGUCUUCCUGUCAGAGUUUUUUCCAGUUUCUGAGCAUCUUUUGGUGGGGUCAGUGAACGACUGCCUUGUUUUUUUGUAAUCUACAUCUUUCAUUGUGAUGAUGGUCUGUCUCUCUUCCGUCUUUAAAACAAAACACCGCAUUCAGCGGUAAAAUACUGUUCAGCUGAAGCUCAGGAGGGUUUGGUGCAGACGGAGAAGGUUGUGGCCAAAAUAAAGCGGAUGUAAAUUCUUUUCUUCCCUCUUCUCCUUUUUGUUUAUCAGGUUGAACUUCUGCACUUUUCUACAAAAGCCUUUAAGCAUCCUCUCUGUUUUUUCUGUCAGGUUGGGUUUUUUUGUGCUUAAAUGUCAGAGUUGUGCUCGUGCUCGGUUCCUUCACACUGCUCGAGUCAUUUUCAUUAUUCGGAGCAGCAGCGCUGCAGCUGGGGAGCUAUGAUGUUCAUCAUAAUGAGUGUUUUUAGAUGAUUUGCACCCCAGUUUACUUAAAGUCAUCUAAAGGUGGAAAUGCUGACGCAGAGCUGAAAGGGAGCUUUUGCACGGCUUCUGGACAGCUUUGACUUCAGAAGGAGGUGUUGGAAUGUCAACACAAGGACUUCACAGAAAAGGAAAACCUUUUUUUUUUUUUCUCUCGCUACUUUUGUUCUGCAAACACAUUUUCCUUUGGGGCUGUGUUUGAGCACAAACCCCCACGGAGGCGGCAGAAAGGGAAAAAUGCUGCAGAUCUAUGAACAAACAGCAGAGGGGAAAAUAAAUUAGUCAGAAUCUCACAUUUUAGUGCUUUGGAGCUGUGUUCAAUGUGAGGGAAAAAAGCAGGUUCUCUUCAGCGAUUUGAAUGUUUUUUAAAUAUUUUUAUGAACUAUUUUCCUGUGGAUUCUAACUGCAUCUUGACCUCUUCUUGACACGAACACAGCUAAUAUUCUAUUUAAAGUUUUGCUCUUUUCUUUUGGCUUUUCAUCAUUCUGAGAUCAAAUAGAAAGAUUGUAGAUGAAGUGAAGCAGCAAUUGGG
Molecule: long non-coding RNA, 1711 nt
Organism: Oryzias latipes (Japanese medaka)
Lineage: Eukaryota; Metazoa; Chordata; Actinopteri; Beloniformes; Adrianichthyidae
Source: RefSeq, a predicted model, not a curated record